Molecule: unclassified non-coding RNA, 227 nt
Filed under: Hevea brasiliensis (rubber tree)
Lineage: Eukaryota; Viridiplantae; Streptophyta; Magnoliopsida; Malpighiales; Euphorbiaceae
Source: RNAcentral
GUCGGCACACUCCUCUGUCACACCUUCGUCCUCAGACAGGUACCCAUGGGGCACAAAGAAACCAUCGUCCUCAUCUUCAUCCUCUCCCAUGUCGUCAUCAUCAUCCCCCUCACUGUGGGACAGGGACUCCCCAGGCUCCUCUUCUUCCCACUCCUCAUCACUGUCCACCUCAUAGUCCAGGAGCUUCGUGUCCUGGGCCCAGGGGUCUCGCGCGCGGAUGAGUGCCG